Molecule: long non-coding RNA, 1043 nt
Organism: Anguilla rostrata (American eel)
Lineage: Eukaryota; Metazoa; Chordata; Actinopteri; Anguilliformes; Anguillidae
Exons: 3
Source: RefSeq, a predicted model, not a curated record
CCUGAAGUGGUCACGACAGCGGAAAUUCGCCAACUUCCAACACAGACUAAAGAGCCACCUCGUCAGAUUCCAGCUGGGUUCCCAUCCCAUCCCCGCCAUGUCCCACUCCCACCUUUUACAGCUGGACACACCGAUCCCGCCCAGCCGCGGGCAGACGUAGUUCCACACGCCGAUGCUUCCGCGUCGGAUCCGCUGGCCCACUGCCAGCUCCAGGAAGAAGAGCGGGAUCCCGAUGAGGAUGAGGAGGAUGAAGUAUGGCACCAGCUCCACAGCAGAGACCUUCAAAUCAUCAACUCUGCGGGCUAACGAAGGGUGGCAUGUUCGGUGACAUCCGAUAUGUACAUGAAAUAUGCAGGAUUUCCUCUCUAUGUAUUGACUAGAUGCUUGGAAAUUUUUAAUUAGCAAAUUAGUAAGAUAAUAACAUUUUUAAAUCCAGUAUUAUGAAAAAUGCAGUAAUAUAAAACUAUAACUAAGUAUCCACUCUUUGACUUCUGGUUAUGUUGUGAGGCUUUUGGGCACAAUAAUGUAUAAUACGAAACUGAAGGGGGUUUUGACAGAGAUUUUAAUGCAUUGAUGCCAGCAUGUAGCAGAACAUCCCAGGGCUGCCCAACCCAGUUCCUGGAGAUCUACCACCCUGAAGGUUUUCAUUUCAACCCUAAUGUGGCAAAUCUGACUCUACUAAUUAGCAGCUGAACAAAAUCUCUAGCUGUUGAGUGAGGUGUGCUUCGUUAUUUCUGGAGGAUGGUGUAUCUCCAGGAACAGGGUUGGCUAUCGCUCUCCUACAGGCAAACUCACACCACAAAAAAAGGCUGCCUUCAGUGAGAAAUUCUGAACCAAAUCAGAUCAUGUCACAUUUUGGGAGAAGUACUGCAGCCCUGGGGAAGAGCUUGAUAGGUGUGAACUGUUGGAUUGUAUUCUCAGUAAGUAGACAGCUAGUUAACAAACAUAAUAAAGUCGUUCUAAGAGCAACUGAUAAAUGCCUAAAUGUAAAUGUAUAAUUGUGAAUUUCAGAAAACCUUGAAAAUUGCUGAGUGAAUAAAGUA